RNAcentral lists this unclassified non-coding RNA (222 nucleotides) under uncultured fungus. RNAcentral describes it as "sequence contains ITS1". The record is from RNAcentral. Lineage: Eukaryota; Fungi.
UUGAUUCAUUUAUAGUUGUUUACUCAGAUGAUAUUACAAAAACAAGAGUUUAUAGGGGCCGUCGGCCGGUCUGCUCCUUACCCCCUAGGGGGACAGGGACUUCAUUCGAAGCCAACCAAUGCCGAGGCAACAAUGGGGUAUAAGUUCACAAAGGGUUUCUGGGUAGCACCCGUGAGGGCGUUUGUUCCAGCAAUGAUCCCUCCGCUGGUUCACCAACGGAGA